RNAcentral lists this ribosomal RNA (469 nucleotides) under uncultured Streptococcus sp. Its description in RNAcentral is "bacterial SSU rRNA". It matches the Rfam family "Bacterial small subunit ribosomal RNA", at positions 914 to 1382 of the family's 1533-position model. The record is from RNAcentral. Lineage: Bacteria; Bacillati; Bacillota; Bacilli; Lactobacillales; Streptococcaceae.
ACCGGGGGCCCGCACAAGCGGUGGAGCAUGUGUUUAAUUCGAAGCAACGCGAAGAACCUUUACCAGGUCUUGACAUCCCGAUGCUUAUUUCUAGAGAUAGAAAGUUACUUCGGUACAUCGGUGACAGGUGGUGCAUGGUUGUCGUCAGCUCGUGUCGUGAGAUGUUGGGUUAAGUCCCGCAACGAGCGCAACCCCUAUUGUUAGUUGCCAUCAUUCAGUUGGGCACUCUAGCGAGACUGCCGGUAAUAAACCGGAGGAAGGUGGGAUGACGUCAAAUCAUCAUGCCUCUUAUGACCUGGGCUACACACGUGCUACAAUGGUUGGUACAACGAGUUGCGAGUCGGUGACGGCGAGCUAAUCUCUUAAAGCCAAUCUCAGUUCGGAUUGUAGGCUGCAACUCGCCUACAUGAAGUCGGAAUCGCUAGUAAUCGCGGAUCAGCACGCCGCGGUGAAUACGUUCCCGGGCCUU